This 440-nucleotide unclassified non-coding RNA is filed under the name Hevea brasiliensis (rubber tree). The record is from RNAcentral. Lineage: Eukaryota; Viridiplantae; Streptophyta; Magnoliopsida; Malpighiales; Euphorbiaceae.
UACAUAGCAAUUUCAAUACUAUAUGUUAUAAAUCUCAAGGCAUGUAAAUAUCAAACUUGAAGGGGGAUAAUCAGUGGUUCGACGAAGAGGUACUUAAAAAGAAGUGCAUUGAUUUAUUGGCAGCCUCAGCAGGCAUGGAUGGAGGCGGAGCUAGAAUUUGAACUUUAAGGGUUUAUAGUUCAGGCUGAAUUAACUCAUACUUGUGCUUCUAGCUUCGCCCCUAGACUGCAGUAUUCGAUAGCAUUCAUCAAUGCGUAAAUCAUCUCAACCUUUUGAUCUUGCUAGUGGCUUCUGUUAUAUUUUGGCCCCAUGAGGAGUUCUCUAGGUUUAAUAAUCUUGUAAGUCGUUGAGAAGCCUUGUGAAAUUUAUCUUCCGUGAUACAUGUCUCUGUCUUGAGAGCGAAAAUAACCUCAUUGACAUCUUCGUCCAGCUGAAGGUGG